GCCCUUAGAGUUUGAUCCUGGCUCAGAACGAACGCUGGCGGCAGGCUUAACACAUGCAAGUCGAGCGCGUCCUUCGGGGCGAGCGGCGGACGGGUGAGUAACGCGCGGGAACGUGCCCUUCGGUGCGGAAUAUACCAGGGAAACUUGGGGCAAUACCGCAUACGGUCUACGGACGAAAGAUUUAUCGCCGAAGGAUCGGCCCGCGUUGGAUUAGGUAGUUGGUGGGGUAAUGGCCUACCAAGCCGACGAUCCAUAGCUGGUUUGAGAGGAUGAUCAGCCACACUGGGACUGAGACACGGCCCAGACUCCUACGGGAGGCAGCAGUGGGGAAUCUUGGACAAUGGGGGCAACCCUGAUCCAGCCAUGCCGCGUGAGCGAUGAAGGCCUUAGGGUUGUAAAGCUCUUUCGCUGGGGAAGAUAAUGACGGUACCCGGUAAAGAAGCCCCGGCUAACUCCGUGCCAGCAGCCGCGGUAAUACGGAGGGGGCUAGCGUUGUUCGGAAUUACUGGGCGUAAAGCGCGCGUA
RNAcentral lists this ribosomal RNA (525 nucleotides) under uncultured Alphaproteobacteria bacterium. RNAcentral's name for it is "bacterial SSU rRNA". It matches the Rfam family "Bacterial small subunit ribosomal RNA", at positions 1 to 573 of the family's 1533-position model. The record is from RNAcentral. Lineage: Bacteria; Pseudomonadati; Pseudomonadota; Alphaproteobacteria.